RNAcentral lists this ribosomal RNA (429 nucleotides) under Chloroflexota bacterium. Its description in RNAcentral is "Chloroflexi bacterium partial 16S ribosomal RNA". It matches the Rfam family "Bacterial small subunit ribosomal RNA", at positions 355 to 776 of the family's 1533-position model. Lineage: Bacteria; Bacillati; Chloroflexota. The record is from RNAcentral.
UGGGGAAUAUUGCACAAUGGGCGCAAGCCUGAUGCAGCCAUGCCGCGUGUAUGAAGAAGGCCUUCGGGUUGUAAAGUACUUUCAGUCGGGAGGAAGGUGGUAAGGUUAAUAACCUUAUCAAUUGACGUUACCGACAGAAGAAGCACCGGCUAACUCCGUGCCAGCAGCCGCGGUAAUACGGAGGGUGCAAGCGUUAAUCGGAAUUACUGGGCGUAAAGCGCACGCAGGCGGUUGAUUGAGUCAGAUGUGAAAUCCCCGGGCUUAACCCGGGGAUUGCAUCUGAUACUGGUCAGCUAGAAUCUUGUAGAGGGGGGUAGGAUUCCAUGUGAAGCGGUGAAAUGCGUAGAGAUGUGGAGGAAUACCGGUGGCGAAGUCGGCCCCCUGGACAAAGACUGACGCUCAGGUGCGAAAGCGUGGGGAGCAAACAGG